This 465-nucleotide ribosomal RNA is filed under the name Vreelandella stevensii. RNAcentral describes it as "partial 16S ribosomal RNA". It matches the Rfam family "Bacterial small subunit ribosomal RNA", at positions 338 to 795 of the family's 1533-position model. The record is from RNAcentral. Lineage: Bacteria; Pseudomonadati; Pseudomonadota; Gammaproteobacteria; Oceanospirillales; Halomonadaceae.
CCUACGUGGGGCUGCAGUGGGGAAUAUUGGACAAUGGGCGAAAGCCUGAUCCAGCCAUGCCGCGUGUGUGAAGAAGGCCUUCGGGUUGUAAAGCACUUUCAGUGGGGAAGAAAGCCUUGGGGCUAAUACCCUCGAGGAAGGACAUCACCCACAGAAGAAGCACCGGCUAACUCCGUGCCAGCAGCCGCGGUAAUACGGAGGGUGCGAGCGUUAAUCGGAAUUACUGGGCGUAAAGCGCGCGUAGGCGGUCUGAUAAGCCGGUUGUGAAAGCCCCGGGCUCAACCUGGGAACGGCAUCCGGAACUGUCAGGCUAGAGUGCAGGAGAGGAAGGUAGAAUUCCCGGUGUAGCGGUGAAAUGCGUAGAGAUCGGGAGGAAUACCAGUGGCGAAGGCGGUCUUCUGGACUGACACUGACGCUGAGGUGCGAAAGCGUGGGUAGCAAACAGGAUUAGAUACCCUAGUAGUC